This 194-nucleotide unclassified non-coding RNA is filed under the name Zygosaccharomyces bailii. RNAcentral's name for it is "external transcribed spacer 2". The record is from RNAcentral. Lineage: Eukaryota; Fungi; Ascomycota; Saccharomycetes; Saccharomycetales; Saccharomycetaceae.
UCUUUCUAGGUUAGCGCUGGCAGGAGCCGGAGCUGAUGUAGAGGAACAGAUUAAUAUUUUUUGCAAAGGCGUAAGACCGGGUAAUAAGAUGUGAGAGGAGACAUGCAAGACAUGGAGGAGACAUGCCAGACGUCUAUGUAAAGUUGUAUAAGUAGGGUAACGUUUUCAUUUACGCAUUAUUUGUCUAAGACUUU